Molecule: ribosomal RNA, 252 nt
Filed under: uncultured Actinomycetales bacterium
Lineage: Bacteria; Bacillati; Actinomycetota; Actinomycetes; Actinomycetales
Description: partial 16S ribosomal RNA
Rfam family: Bacterial small subunit ribosomal RNA
Source: RNAcentral
CUUCUCUGAUGUUAGCGGCGGACGGGUGAGUAACACGUGGAUAACCUACCUAUAAGACUGGGAUAACUUCGGGAAACUGGGGCUAAUACCGGAUAGGAGCUCCUGCUGCAUGGUGGGGGUUGGAAAGUUUCGGCGGUUGGGGAUGGACUCGCGGCUUAUCAGCUUGUUGGUGGGGUAGUGGCUUACCAAGGCUUUGACGGGUAGCCGGCCUGAGAGGGUGACCGGCCACAUUGGGACUGAGAUACGGCCCAG